Oreochromis niloticus (Nile tilapia) is the source of this 164-nucleotide long non-coding RNA. RefSeq lists it as uncharacterized. NCBI's taxonomy places the organism in Eukaryota, Metazoa, Chordata, Actinopteri, Cichliformes, Cichlidae. The record is from RefSeq and is a predicted model, not a curated record. The transcript is spliced from 3 exons.
UUUAGCUCCAGUUCUUCCCAUCUGAAAGAGCUGGACCUGAGCUACAAUAACCCAGGAGAGGCAGGAGUGAAGAUGCUUGAGCAGCUAAGACUGGACACUCUGAGGGUGGAGCCUGCUGGAGUCCGAUGGUUGAGACCAGGUCUGAGGAAGUAUUCCUGUCAACU